Molecule: long non-coding RNA, 774 nt
Organism: Culex quinquefasciatus (southern house mosquito)
Lineage: Eukaryota; Metazoa; Arthropoda; Insecta; Diptera; Culicidae
Exons: 4
Source: RefSeq, a predicted model, not a curated record
UGUGGCCUGUGCAAGAUCGCGAUGCGGUUGUUUGUGAGAAAAUCGGCGAUUUGUGUAGAAAUGGGAAUUUAUUUAUUAUUUUCCUGAUACGUAUCAGUUUAAAAAGGUACCUAUAUAAUCAUUUGAAGUUUUAUUCCCCAAUUCUACCCCAAAAAUCCCAUAUCUCACAAACAAGCUCAUCAGAGAUGCAAUAUGCUCUGAUAUGAAUUUUGUAUGCUAUGCUUUUGAGAUCAUGCUUUCAAAUCCGCCGCUGAGAAGACUCCCAGUGAGCGACCAUUCAUGUCGGACACUUCGUAGGAACUCGUUCCCUUCUUGGCGACGAUGAUGCACGGGACGUACGUAGGCCCAAGCUUGGCAUUGAAGGACUUGUUCGCCGCCGACUGCUGGAAGGAUCUCUUGAAGACACGCUGUCCAACAUCGAACACCGAUUUUCAUCGACCUGUUCAUCAACCACCUCGACGGAUUCCAUCGUUGGCCUGAUGCCGAAUUUUUGCCAGAAGUCGUAGCCAAGGAUGCACUUCCUGUUCAGCUUCGGCGCGAUCAUCACGGACAGAAUCUUCGUAACACCAUUGAACGUAAUCGGCGAUUACGCAACGCACGUUCGGCUCCGCUGCGCGAUGAAUCAAAUGGGAUGUCGCGGAUCUUCAGCUCAUGUUCGAGUUCAUCAACGGUCAAAUGACCCGUAUUCAUUCCGCGAUACAGUGACAACAAAUGAACCAUAUCCAUCUUGAGUGCAAGGAAAAUCAAAGAUCUUGUAAUUAAAAAGAAAAUUUA